RNAcentral lists this ribosomal RNA (378 nucleotides) under uncultured bacterium. RNAcentral describes it as "partial 16S ribosomal RNA". It matches the Rfam family "Bacterial small subunit ribosomal RNA", at positions 338 to 732 of the family's 1533-position model. The record is from RNAcentral.
CCUACGGGUGGCAGCAGUGGGGAAUAUUGCACAAUGGGGGAAACCCUGAUGCAGCGAAGCCGCGUGAGCGAGGAAGGAUUUCGGUAUGGAAAACUCUGUCAGCAGGGGAAAAGAAUGACGGUACCUGAAGCAGAAGCACCGGCUAAAUACGUGCCAGCAGGCGCGGUAAUACGUAGGGUGCAAGCGUUAUCCGGAUUUACUGGGUGUAACGGGAGCGCAGGCGGUUCUGCAAGUCUGAUGUGAAAGCCCGGGGCUCAACCGCGGGACUGCCUUGGAAACUGCGGGACUGGAGUGGCGGAGGGGUAAGCGGAAUUCGUGGUGUAGCGGUGAAAUGCGUAGAUAUCAGGAGGAACACCGGUUGCGAAGGCGGCUUACUGG